RNAcentral lists this ribosomal RNA (468 nucleotides) under uncultured bacterium. Its description in RNAcentral is "partial 16S ribosomal RNA". It matches the Rfam family "Bacterial small subunit ribosomal RNA", at positions 28 to 507 of the family's 1533-position model. The record is from RNAcentral.
GACGAACGCUGGCGGCGUGCUUAACACAUGCAAGUCGAACGGAAAGGCCCUGCUUUUGUCGGGUGCUCGAGUGGCGAACGUGUGAGUAACACGUGAGUCACCUGGCCUUGACUUUGUGAUAACUUCAGGAAACUGCGGCUAAUACCGGCUAGGAGCUCCUGCUGCAUGGUGGGGUUUGGAAAGUUUCGGUGGUUGGGGGUCGACUCGCGGGUUACUAGCUUGUUGGUGGGGUAGUGGCAUACGCACGCUUUCGCUGGUAGCCGGCCUGAGAGGGUGGCCGGCUUCAUGGGGACUGCGGGACGCCCCAGACUCCAACGUGGGGCAACAGUGGGGAAUAUUGCACAAUAGGCGGGAGCGUGAGACGACGGCGCCGCGUGCGGGAUGACGGCCUUCUGGGUGGAAACCGCUUUCAGCUGAGACGAAGCUUUAUUGACGGUAAUGAGUAAAGAAGCACCGGCUAACUACGUG